AUAACCAGGUCCAGCCUGCCCAGUGAUAAAAUUCAACGGCCGCGGUACCCUAACCGUGCGAAGGUAGCAUAAUCACUUGUUCUUUAAAUGAGGACUUGUAUCAACGGCAUCACGAGGGUUAAACUGUCUCCUUUUUCAUAUCAGUGAAACUGAUCUCCCCGUGAAGAAGCGGAGAUAAACUUAUAAGACGAGAAGACCCCAUGGAGCUUUAAACCCAACUACACCCUAACCCAAUUAUUACCUCUCAACUUUUAGGUCCUGUAUGUUUUGGUUUUAGGUUGGGGUGACCGCGGAGUAUAAACCAACCUCCACAAUGAAUAGAUUCCCUCUUUAUCUAAGAAUUACACUUCUAAGAAUUAGAAUUCUAACAUAAAAUGAUCCGAUAUUUGAUCAACGAACCAAGUUACCCUGGGGAUAACAGCGCAAUCCACUUCAAGAGCCCCUAUCGACAAGUGGGUUUACGACCUCGAUGUUGGAUCAGGGUAUCCCAGUGGUGCAGCAGCUACUAAAGGUUCGUUUGUUCAACGAUUAAAACCCU
RNAcentral lists this ribosomal RNA (538 nucleotides) under Guibemantis timidus. RNAcentral's name for it is "partial 16S ribosomal RNA". It matches the Rfam family "Bacterial large subunit ribosomal RNA", at positions 1843 to 2597 of the family's 2925-position model. The record is from RNAcentral. Lineage: Eukaryota; Metazoa; Chordata; Amphibia; Anura; Mantellidae.